GCACUGCUGAGGAGUCCCACAAUAGGACGAAAUGGGCGUCCAGUGC
Schistosoma curassoni is the source of this 46-nucleotide non-coding RNA. The record is from Rfam. Lineage: Eukaryota; Metazoa; Platyhelminthes; Trematoda; Strigeidida; Schistosomatidae.